GUAAUACCCUGCUAGCCCAAAAAA
This 24-nucleotide non-coding RNA is filed under the name Arabidopsis thaliana (thale cress). Lineage: Eukaryota; Viridiplantae; Streptophyta; Magnoliopsida; Brassicales; Brassicaceae. The record is from RNAcentral.